This 2889-nucleotide ribosomal RNA is filed under the name Phocaeicola vulgatus. RNAcentral's name for it is "23S ribosomal RNA". It matches the Rfam family "Bacterial large subunit ribosomal RNA". Lineage: Bacteria; Pseudomonadati; Bacteroidota; Bacteroidia; Bacteroidales; Bacteroidaceae. The record is from RNAcentral.
AGGAAAGUAAAGAAGGGCGCAUGGCGGAUGCCUUGGCUCUCGGAGGCGAUGAAGGACGUGAUAAGCUGCGAUAAGCUUUGGGGAGGUGCAAAUGACCUUUGAUCCAGAGAUUUCCGAAUGGGACAACCCAAUAUCUUGAAGAGGUAUUAUCUUACUAUGUAAGAGGCUAACGCAGGGAACUGAAACAUCUUAGUACCUGCAGGAAAAGAAAAUAAACAAUGAUUCCCCCAGUAGUGGCGAGCGAACGGGGAACAGCCCAAACCAUCCAUGUUACGGCAUGGGUGGGGUUGUAGGACUACGCCGUUGCAUGAAGACAUCAGAGAAGAACUUUCUGGAAAGAAAGACCAUAGAGCAUGACAGUUGCGUAUUCGAAUGUUGUCGAAGCAUAGUAGUAUCCUGAGUAGCGCGGAGCACGAGGAAUUCUGCGUGAAUCUGCCGGGACCAUCCGGUAAGGCUAAAUACUCCCGAGAGACCGAUAGCGAACCAGUACCGUGAGGGAAAGGUGAAAAGCACUUCGAACAGAAGAGUGAAAUAGUUCCUGAAACCGUGCGCCUACAAGCGGUCGGAGCUCGUUAAUGAGUGACGGCGUGCCUUUUGCAUAAUGAACCUACGAGUUGCCUUUGCCGGCAAGGUUAAGUGUGACGACACACGUAUCCGAAGCGAAAGCGAGUCUGAACAGGGCGUAUAGUCGGCAGUGGCAGACGCGAAACCAAGUGAUCUACCCUUGGCCAGGUUGAAGGCUGGGUAACACCAGCUGGAGGACCGCACCAAUAAGCGUUGAAAAGCUUCUGGAUGAGCUGAGGGUAGGGGUGAAAGGCUAAUCAAACUUGGAGAUAGCUCGUACUCCCCGAAAUGCAUUUAGGUGCAGCCUUGCGGGUUACUGAUGUGAGGUAGAGCGACUGAUAAGAUGCGAGGGCUUCACCGCCUAUCAAGUCUUGACAAACUCCGAAUGCGCAUCAGUUCUACCGCAGGAGUGAGGGCAUGGGUGCUAAGGUCCGUGCCCGAGAGGAGAAGAAUCCGGACCACCUGCUAAGGUCCCGAAAUGACAGCUAAGUUAAACUAACGAAGUCUGACUGCUAAGACAGCUAGGAUGUUGGCUUGGAAGCAGCCAUUCAUUUAAAGAGUGCGUAACAGCUCACUAGUCGAGGAGUCGGGCGUGGAUAAUAAUCGGGUAUUAAGUUGUCUACCGAAGCAGUGGGAUCAUUAAUAUGAUCGGUAGGGGAGCAUUCCAGUCGGCGUCGAAGGCGUACCGUGAGGUAUUCUGGAGCGUCUGGAAAAGCAAAUGUAGGUAUAAGUAACGAUAAAGGGGGCGGGAAACCCCCUCGCCGAAAGACUAAGGUUUCCUGAUCAACGCUAAUCGGAUCAGGGUCAGUCGGGUCCUAAGGCUCAGCCGAACGGCGAUGCCGAUGGCAGAAACGGUUAAUAUUCCGUUACUACCUUCAGGAGUGACGUGGAGACGCAGUAGUGACAGUGCCGCCAUCUGACGGAAUAGAUGGUUGAAGGGUGUAGGAGUCGAUCAUGGCAGGCAAAUCCACCAUGAGAUCCGAACCUGACAGUAUGCCGCGUCCUUCGGGACAAGGCAAUAGUGCGCGUAAGCAUGCUGCCGAGAAAAUCCGCUAAACUUAAUCCUGCAGGUACCCGUACCGCAAACGGACACACGUAGUCGGGAUGAAUAUUCUAAGGCGCUUGAGUGAUUCACGGUUAAGGAACUAGGCAAACUGACCCUGUAACUUCGGGAUAAAGGGUCCCUACCCUUUUAUGGGAGGGCGCAGAGAAUCGGUCCAGGCAACUGUUUAACAAAAACACAGGGCUGUGCCAAAUCGAAAGAUCCAGUAUACAGCCUGACACCUGCCCGGUGCUGGAAGGUUAAGAGGAGAUGUCAUCGAUAAGAGAAGCGUUGAAUUGAAGCCCCAGUAAACGGCGGCCGUAACUAUAACGGUCCUAAGGUAGCGAAAUUCCUUGUCGGGUAAGUUCCGACCUGCACGAAUGGUGUAAUGAUCUGGACGCUGUCUCAACCGUGAGCUCAGUGAAAUUGUAGUAUCGGUGAAGAUGCCGAUUACCCGCGAUGGGACGAAAAGACCCCGUGAACCUUUACUAUAGCUUAUCAUUGAAUCUGGGCACGUGAUGUGUAGGAUAGGUCGGAGGCUUUGAAGCAGGUACGCCAGUAUUUGUGGAGCCGCUGUUGAAAUACGACCCUUUAUUUGUUUGGAUUCUAACCCGUGGAUACGGGGACAUUGAUUGGUGGGUAGUUUGACUGGGGUGGUCGCCUCCAAAAGCGUAACGGAGGCUUCUAAAGGUGCCCUCCGGCCGAUUGGUAACCGGCCUUAGAGUGUAAUGGCAUAAGGGCGCUUGACUGGGAGACUGACAAGUCGAUCAGGUAGGAAACUAGAGCAUAGUGAUCCGGUGUUUCCGUAUGGAAGGGACAUCGCUCAAAGGAUAAAAGGUACUCCGGGGAUAACAGGCUGAUCCCUCCCAAGAGCUCAUAUCGACGGAGUGGUUUGGCACCUCGAUGUCGGCUCGUCACAUCCUGGGGCUGGAGAAGGUCCCAAGGGUUGGGCUGUUCGCCCAUUAAAGUGGCACGCGAGCUGGGUUCAGAACGUCGUGAGACAGUUCGGUCUCUAUCUAUCGUGGGCGUAUGAAAUUUGCGUGGCUCUGACACUAGUACGAGAGGACCGUGUUGGACAGACCUCUGGUUUGCCGGUUGUGCCGCCAGGUGCAUUGCCGGGUAUCUAAGUCUGGAUCGGAUAAGUGCUGAAAGCAUCUAAGUACGAAGCCGGCCACAAGAUUAGAUUUCUCAGGGUCGUUGUAGACUACGACGUUGAUAGGAUGCAGGUGUAAAGGUAGAGAUACCAAAGCCGAGCAUUACUAAUUGCCCGUUCACUUUCCUUA